AUAAUGGGUCAGCGACUUAUAUUCUGUAGCAAGGUUAACCGAAUAGGGGAGCCGAAGGGAAACCGAGUCUUAACUGGGCGUUAAGUUGCAGGGUAUAGACCCGAAACCCGGUGAUCUAGCCAUGGGCAGGUUGAAGGUUGGGUAACACUAACUGGAGGACCGAACCGACUAAUGUUGAAAAAUUAGCGGAUGACUUGUGGCUGGGGGUGAAAGGCCAAUCAAACCGGGAGAUAGCUGGUUCUCCCCGAAAGCUAUUUAGGUAGCGCCUCGUGAAUUCAUCUCCGGGGGUAGAGCACUGUUUCGGCAAGGGGGUCAUCCCGACUUACCAACCCGAUGCAAACUGCGAAUACCGGAGAAUGUUAUCACGGGAGACACACGGCGGGUGCUAACGUCCGUCGUGAAGAGGGAAACAACCCAGACCGCCAGCUAAGGUCCCAAAGUCAUGGUUAAGUGGGAAACGAUGUGGGAAGGCCCAGACAGCCAGGAUGUUGGCUUAGAAGCAGCCAUCAUUUAAAGAAAGCGUAAUAGCUCACUGGUCGAGUCGGCCUGCGCGGAAGAUGUAACGGGGCUAAACCAUGCACCGAAGCUGCGGCAGCGACGCUGAUGCGUUGUUGGGUAGGG
Molecule: ribosomal RNA, 621 nt
Filed under: Escherichia coli
Lineage: Bacteria; Pseudomonadati; Pseudomonadota; Gammaproteobacteria; Enterobacterales; Enterobacteriaceae
Description: partial 23S ribosomal RNA
Rfam family: Bacterial large subunit ribosomal RNA
Source: RNAcentral